This 253-nucleotide ribosomal RNA is filed under the name uncultured bacterium. RNAcentral describes it as "partial 16S ribosomal RNA". It matches the Rfam family "Bacterial small subunit ribosomal RNA", at positions 524 to 776 of the family's 1533-position model. The record is from RNAcentral.
AACGUAGGUGGCGAGCGUUAUCCGGAUUUACUGGGCGUAAAGCGUGCGCAGGCGGUUAUGUAAGACAGAUGUGAAAUGCCCGGGCUUAACCUGGGAACUGCAUUUGUGACUGCAUGGCUAGAGUUUGGCAGAGGGGGGUGGAAUUCCACGUGUAGCAGUGAAAUGCGUAGAGAUGUGGAGGAACACCGAUGGCGAAGGCAGCCCCCUGGGCUAACACUGACGCUCAUGCACGAAAGCGUGGGGAGCAAACAGG